CCCACGGGUGGCAGCAGUGGGGAAUAUUGGACAAUGGGCGAAAGCCUGAUCCAGCCAUGCCGCGUGUGUGAAGAAGGCCUUCGGGUUGUAAAGCACUUUCAGUGGGGAAGAAAGCCUUGGGGCUAAUACCCUCGAGGAAGGACAUCACCCACAGAAGAAGCACCGGCUAACUCCGUGCCAGCAGCCGCGGUAAUACGGAGGGUGCGAGCGUUAAUCGGAAUUACUGGGCGUAAAGCGCGCGUAGGCGGUCUGAUAAGCCGGUUGUGAAAGCCCCGGGCUCAACCUGGGAACGGCAUCCGGAACUGUCAGGCUAGAGUGCAGGAGAGGAAGGUAGAAUUCCCGGUGUAGCGGUGAAAUGCGUAGAGAUCGGGAGGAAUACCAGUGGCGAAGGCGGUCUUCUGGACUGACACUGACGCUGAGGUGCGAAAGCGUGGGUAGCAAACAGGAUUAGAUACCCCUGUAGUC
RNAcentral lists this ribosomal RNA (465 nucleotides) under Vreelandella stevensii. RNAcentral's name for it is "partial 16S ribosomal RNA". It matches the Rfam family "Bacterial small subunit ribosomal RNA", at positions 338 to 795 of the family's 1533-position model. The record is from RNAcentral. Lineage: Bacteria; Pseudomonadati; Pseudomonadota; Gammaproteobacteria; Oceanospirillales; Halomonadaceae.